RNAcentral lists this ribosomal RNA (587 nucleotides) under uncultured bacterium. Its description in RNAcentral is "partial 16S ribosomal RNA". It matches the Rfam family "Bacterial small subunit ribosomal RNA", at positions 355 to 1375 of the family's 1533-position model. The record is from RNAcentral.
UGGGGAAUUUUGGACAAUGGGCGCAAGCCUGAUCCAGCCAUGCCGCGUGCGGGAAGAAGGCCUUCGGGUUGUAAAGCACUUUUGUCCGGAAAGAAAUCCUUGGCUCUAAUACAGUCGGGGGAUGACGGUACCGGAAGAAUAAGCACCGGCUAACUACGUGCCAGCAGCCGCGGUAAUACGUAGGGUGCAAGCGUUAAUCGGAAUUACUGGGCGUAAAGCGUGCGCAGGCGGUUUGCUAAGACCGAUGUGAAAUCCCCGGGCUCAACCUGGGAACUGCAUUGGUGACUGGCAGGCUAGAGUAUGGCAGAGGGGGGUAGAAUUCCACGUGUAGCAGUGAAAUGCGUAGAGAUGUGGAGGAAUACCGAUGGCGAAGGCAGCCCCCUGGGCCAAUACUGACGCUCAUGCACGAAAAGCGUGGGGAGCAAACAGGAUUAGAUACCCUGGUAGUCCACGCCCUAAAACGAUGUCAACUAGUUGUUGGGGAUUCAUUUCCUUAGUAACGUAGCUAACGCGUGAAGUUGACCGCCUGGGGAGUACGGUCGCAAGAUUAAAACUUAAAUGAAUUGACGGGGUCAUAGCUGUUUCCU